UUAUUAUUGGCUGGGUGGUAAAGCAGUAGAUUACUAAUCUAUUGUCGGUAACGGUGUGUAGAUUUGAAUCCUGUAUCUUCCGCCA
This 85-nucleotide transfer RNA is filed under the name Acidithiobacillus ferrivorans. RNAcentral describes it as "tRNA-Ser". The stretch from base 6 to 76 matches the Rfam family "tRNA", at positions 6 to 65 of the family's 71-position model. Rfam says of the family: Transfer RNA (tRNA) molecules are approximately 80 nucleotides in length. Their secondary structure includes four short double-helical elements and three loops (D, anti-codon, and T loops). Lineage: Bacteria; Pseudomonadati; Pseudomonadota; Acidithiobacillia; Acidithiobacillales; Acidithiobacillaceae. The record is from RNAcentral.